AGCGAACGCUGGCGGCAGGCCUAACACAUGCAAGUCGAACGAACUCUUCGGAGUUAGUGGCGGACGGGUGAGUAACACGUGGGAACGUGCCUUUAGGUUCGGAAUAACUCAGGGAAACUUGUGCUAAUACCGAAUGUGCCCUUCGGGGGAAAGAUUUAUCGCCUUUAGAGCGGCCCGCGUCUGAUUAGCUAGUUGGUGAGGUAAAGGCUCACCAAGGCGACGAUCAGUAGCUGGUCUGAGAGGAUGAUCAGCCACAUUGGGACUGAGACACGGCCCAAACUCCUACGGGAGGAAGCAGUGGGGAAUCUUGCGCAAUGGGCGAAAGCCUGACGCAGCCAUGCCGCGUGAAUGAUGAAGGUCUUAGGAUUGUAAAAUUCUUUCACCGGGGACGAUAAUGACGGUACCCGGAGAAGAAGCCCCGGCUAACUUCGUG
This 433-nucleotide ribosomal RNA is filed under the name uncultured bacterium. Its description in RNAcentral is "partial 16S ribosomal RNA". It matches the Rfam family "Bacterial small subunit ribosomal RNA", at positions 29 to 507 of the family's 1533-position model. The record is from RNAcentral.